Molecule: ribosomal RNA, 433 nt
Filed under: uncultured bacterium
Lineage: Bacteria
Description: partial 16S ribosomal RNA
Rfam family: Bacterial small subunit ribosomal RNA
Source: RNAcentral
AACGAACGCUGGCGGCAUGCCUAAUACAUGCAAGUCGAACGAGAUCUUCGGAUCUAGUGGCGCACGGGUGCGUAACGCGUGGGAAUCUGCCCUUGGGUUCGGAAUAACUUCUGGAAACGGAAGCUAAUACCGGAUGAUGACGUAAGUCCAAAGAUUUAUCGCCCAAGGAUGAGCCCGCGUAGGAUUAGCUAGUUGGUGGGGUAAAGGCCCACCAAGGCGACGAUCCUUAGCUGGUCUGAGAGGAUGAUCAGCCACACUGGGACUGAGACACGGCCCAGACUCCUACGGGAGGCAGCAGUAGGGAAUAUUGGACAAUGGGCGAAAGCCUAAUCCAGCAAUGCCGCGUGAGUGAUGAAGGCCUUAGGGUUGUAAAGCUCUUUUACCCGGGAUGAUAAUGACAGUACCGGGAGAAUAAGCUCCGGCUAACUCCGUG